This 253-nucleotide ribosomal RNA is filed under the name uncultured bacterium. Its description in RNAcentral is "partial 16S ribosomal RNA". It matches the Rfam family "Bacterial small subunit ribosomal RNA", at positions 524 to 776 of the family's 1533-position model. The record is from RNAcentral.
UACGUAGGGUGCAAGCGUUGUCCGGAAUUAUUGGGCGUAAAGAGCUCGUAGGCGGCUUGUCGCGUCGUCCGUGAAAACUUGGGGCUCAACCCCAAGCUUGCGGUCGAUACGGGCAGGCUAGAGUUCGGUAGGGGAGACUGGAAUUCCCGGUGUAGCGGUGAAAUGCGCAGAUAUCGGGAAGAACACCCGUGGCGAAGGCGGCUUACUGGUCCGGAACUGACGCUGAGGUGCGAAAGCGUGGGGAGCAAACAGG